This 379-nucleotide ribosomal RNA is filed under the name uncultured eukaryote. RNAcentral's name for it is "partial 18S ribosomal RNA". It matches the Rfam family "Eukaryotic small subunit ribosomal RNA", at positions 592 to 975 of the family's 1831-position model. The record is from RNAcentral.
CAAUAGCGUAUAUUAAAGUUGUUGCAGUUAAAAAGCUCGUAGUUGGAUUUGUGGUGUACUUCGGCGGCCCGUCACUAUGUGAUGGAGCUUGCUGAAGUCGCCAUCCUUGGGUGGAUCCUGUGUGGCAUUAAGUUGUCGUGCAGGGGAUGCCCAUCGUUUACUGUGAAAAAAUUAGAGUGUUCAAAGCAGGCUUAUGCCGUUGAAUAUAUUAGCAUGGAAUAAUAAGAUAGGACCUUGGUACUAUUUUGUUGGUUUGCGCACCGAGGUAAUGAUUAAUAGGGACAGUUGGGGGUAUUCGUAUUUCAUUGUCAGAGGUGAAAUUCUUGGAUUUUUGAAAGACGAACUACUGCGAAAGCAUUUACCAAGGAUGUUUNCAUUA